Molecule: ribosomal RNA, 253 nt
Filed under: uncultured bacterium
Lineage: Bacteria
Description: partial 16S ribosomal RNA
Rfam family: Bacterial small subunit ribosomal RNA
Source: RNAcentral
UACAGAGGGCGCGAGCGUUAAUCGGAAUUACUGGGCGUAAAGCGUGCGUAGACGGUUAUUUAAGUCGGGUGUGAAAGCCCCGGGCUCAACCUGGGAAUUGCAUUCGAGACUGAAUAGCUAGGGUACGGUAGAGGGAAGUGGAAUUUCCGGUGUAGCGGUGAAAUGCGUAGAUAUCGGAAGGAACAUCAGUGGCGAAAGCGACUUCCUGGACCAGUACCGACGUUCAGGCACGAAAGCGUGGGGAGCAAACAGG